RNAcentral lists this ribosomal RNA (497 nucleotides) under uncultured bacterium. RNAcentral describes it as "partial 16S ribosomal RNA". It matches the Rfam family "Bacterial small subunit ribosomal RNA", at positions 28 to 507 of the family's 1533-position model. The record is from RNAcentral.
GAUGAACCCUGGCGGCGUGCCUAAUACAUGCAAGUCGAGCGAACAGACGAGGAGCUUGCUCCUCUGACGUUAGCGGCGGACGGGUGAGUAACACGUGGAUAACCUACCUAUAAGACUGGGAUAACUUCGGGAAACCGGAGCUAAUACCGGAUAAUAUAUUGAACCGCAUGGUUCAAUAGUGAAAGACGGUUUUGCUGUCACUUAUAGAUGGAUCCGCGCCGCAUUAGCUAGUUGGUAAGGUAACGGCUUACCAAGGCAACGAUGCGUAGCCGACCUGAGAGGGUGAUCGGCCACACUGGAACUGAGACACGGUCCAGACUCCUACGGGAGGCAGCAGUAGGGAAUCUUCCGCAAUGGGCGAAAGCCUGACGGAGCAACGCCGCGUGAGUGAUGAAGGUCUUCGGAUCGUAAAACUCUGUUAUUAGGGAAGAACAAAUGUGUAAGUAACUAUGCACGUCUUGACGGUACCUAAUCAGAAAGCCACGGCUAACUACGUG